Molecule: ribosomal RNA, 556 nt
Filed under: uncultured bacterium
Lineage: Bacteria
Description: bacterial SSU rRNA
Rfam family: Bacterial small subunit ribosomal RNA
Source: RNAcentral
GGAAUAUUGGACAAUGGGCGCAAGCCUGAUCCAGCCAUGCCGCGUGCAGGAUGACGGUCCUAUGGAUUGUAAACUGCUUUUGUACAGGAAGAAACACUCCCUCGUGAGGGAGCUUGACGGUACUGUAAGAAUAAGGAUCGGCUAACUCCGUGCCAGCAGCCGCGGUAAUACGGAGGAUCCAAGCGUUAUCCGGAAUCAUUGGGUUUAAAGGGUCCGUAGGCGGUUUAAUAAGUCAGUGGUGAAAUCUGGUCGCUCAACGAUCAAACGGCCAUUGAUACUGUUAGACUUGAAUUACAAGGAAGUAACUAGAAUAUGUAGUGUAGCGGUGAAAUGCUUAGAUAUUACAUGGAAUACCAAUUGCGAAGGCAGGUUACUACUUGUGGAUUGACGCUGAUGGACGAAAGCGUGGGUAGCGAACAGGAUUAGAUACCCUGGUAGUCCACGCCGUAAACGAUGGAUACUAGCUGUUGGGAGCAAUCUCAGUGGCUAAGCGAAAGUGAUAAGUAUCCCACCUGGGGAGUACGUUCGCAAGAAUGAAACUCAAAGGAAUUGACGG